GCAAAGGUUACAUAAAUUAGUGUCAUUUAGAGCUUAGGAAUUCAAAUUCGAUGGUGUUAAUGGCUUCUUGAAGCUUUUUUCAUUCCUAUAUUUAUUCACUAUAUCUUCCUUCUCGUUGUUUAUGAGCAAUAAGUAAAGAGCCGACUUUUGCUGGUUCUUAGAUUAGUGAAUAUAUGAACAUUAGUGUUUCAAUGCUUUACGCUCUAUGCUACCAUGGAAAAGAUCGAACAAAAUGGAUUGUCGUGAGCGUUGCAUACUAAAUCUUGGCUGACAGAACUGUAGGUGCAUAUGUAGUAACGGUCGUGCUUGCAAUUGUUCCAUUCCAACAGUAUUGAUUAAAGCAAGAAGCACAUUGACUUGGAGUCGACAUGUUUUUGCGUUCCAAGGAACGUUGAACGAGAGCGCAUGCAACGCAGACAGCAAAUGAAUCACUGUUAUUUUGGGUAGCAGCAACAGCGGCAUUUUCAAUCAUUCCACUGGACAAAGUAUCUUCCAGUUGAACAGUGUAGGUAGUGACAUUUGCAUACAUAGUCCAAGGAUAGUUGGGGAAGUAAACUACAAGAGGAGGAGUAUCGUCAUUAACGGUAUGGUUUCCGGCUGUGGUGUUUCUACCGUCGCAACCGAAGAAAGUUGGAUGAGUGUUCAAACCAAGAGCCAAAAAUGUGUUGGUAUCAGGAAUAUAUGGGAAACCACGAACGCCAGAGGAGUUAGUGGCUAAAACUCUUUCAUAUGUAGAAACUAGGGACGAUCCAUCUGGCCAUCCACUCGUUGCGCUUUGAUAACCCCCGUCAAUCGCAAAAAUAACAUCUACGUCUCUUUGUGGAUGAAGCAAGGGCCAAAAGGGAAUACCUUCACUAUCUGAGCCACCGUCUAUUAAUUCAAUAAUGGGAUACGGCUCCAAGGGAUUGGUAGUGGUUGUAUUGGAAGCAUUUCCAUAACCUUGGUAAGGGUUGGGAUAAAGACCUACAUCCAAUUGAUCUUCGGCAAGCAUUUCGAGGAAACUAAGGACAGCAUUGUUAAAGGUAUUAUUACUAGCGGUGAGUGAUGCAUUUGUCGCAGGAAGGAUACCGCUAAAAACAUUUGAAGAGGUACCCAUGAGGAAACCAGCGUUGUCGAAAUUACGCACACAGGAUUCAUUAAGAGGAAUGCCAUUAAUAAGGUGUGUACCUGUAUACUCCAUGGGUAUAAAUGAUUCCACCCCAGUGUCCCAAGUACCAAAUUCGAUGGGUGUAAAUUCAAAGACAGUGUCGUUCAAAGGGAUUACGGUUUCACCCUCUAUGACAUUAUCAGCAAUGAUGAUGGGAAAGGGAAAUUCACCAUCCUGGAACCACGUUUCAUUUGUUACACUAGAGAAUGUAGUAUUAGCACCUCCAGUCAAAGGAUUGACAAGCUUAAGAGCCAAAGCACGGCCCCAAAGGUCAGUAAUGGAGACAUUGAAUCCAGCAUUCUUCUUUUGCAGAACUUGCUCAAACCACUCUUGGUAAAUAUAAAAGUUCUCAAAAGCGUCGUCAUAGGGAGCGAAGAGACUGUGGUCCAGGUUCCAAACGUCGUCGUGCAAGAAAGUAAUAUUGGCAAAGUUGUUAACCGCAACAGAUCCCACAAGCCAAGAGCCACCAGAAAGACCAGUAAGGUACAUGGAAGAUUGAAGAAUACCACCAAGAGACGUAGUGUUACCAUUUCUAGCAUCAAAUGCAUUAAUAGCGCCGGCUCCCGUUAACAUGGCAGGAAAUCCACCGCCAGAGAUUGCAAUUCCCAAACGAGGGCCAUCUGUGUCAUUCAGCACACUUUUUGUAUCGAUUUUUAAGCCGGUUUUUGAAAUAAAGCUUUCCAAUGCACUGUUAACCUUUGAGACACGUUUGUCAACAAAUUCUUGUUCACCAGUACUAAGGCCAUCGGAGGCAGGUCGAAGCAGAGAGCCACUAGGGCAAGCAACAGUAUAAGGCGCAUACGAUGGGCUUGUGCUACGCUUGGAAAGGGGUAUAGAGUUUGCUGGCUUAUCAACGUUAUCGGGUUUCAAUAAUCCGAUUAGUUCUGGGUCUGAAACGUCUACUUCAUCGAUACGAGAAGGAAGGCCCAAGGCCGGCAAAAGCUGGAGAGCGAGAAAUAAUCCAAAGGAAGAUAAUUUCAUGUUUAAAAAAAAAUAAAAUAAAAAUUAAAAAAGCAAGGUUGGUUUAAUAAAGGAUAAAAGGAUAGAAUACGGUCAAUGAUUCGUUUUUAAAAAAAGUUCGAAUUUUUCAAUUUUCUCUGAAUCCAAAAAAAGCAAGAGAGUGAUUAACAAACAGCGAGUUUCUAAAGUCUGAAUUUUUUGAAAUUUUCUGAGAAUGAAAAAAAUCAAGACAAUGAAAGUAAUCAAUUAAAGAGCUUUCAAUUGUCAAUUCCCAAUCUAGUAAGUUCAACGAAAAAUAUUUAGAUAUCUAGAGAGUCCGUCGAGCUACAAUGUCAAUAAAAGCAAAUUAAGCAUUUGAUGGAGCGGUUCGGCAAGCGAUGAGCUUAAACUAUAUUUCCAUCAGGACACCUAGUUUUGUCGAAAAGGUUGGGAUGAGACAGGAUUUCGACAUAUUUCCAAGAAAAUAAUAUCAUGUUCUUUUUUAUGAUUUAACCUAUCUUUUUCCAUUGAAAUAAAAAAAUCCCAAUUCAAAUUUUCAAGUUGGGAUUUUGCUUACCCACCGUCCGUUUUAGGAAUAGACAGACGUUUUUGCUCAUUUCCUUGCCAAACACAAACCGGCCUUGCCAACUUUCUAGGCAUUUGUAAAUUGCUUGCUUACCUACACAGAUCACACUAAAGAAGGAUGAAUCACUGAUUGUUUGUUUUAACGGGAUUUACCGAUUCAAUCACUAAAGUUGCAACCUUUAUUCAUUUAUUCCCAAGUGCUAUAUAUAUAAUAUAUAUAGGCUUUUGAGGAUGAACUCACUUGUAGACUCACUUUUCGCAUGACCCACGUUUCUCAUGAUCUGCUUACCUUGAUCCGCAAUUCGGCGUGGACUAGAAGGAACUCCGAAGAUGCCAUCUAUGAUGUUAACGAUUUUCUAUAUGUAGCACCGUGAGAUUAUGAAAUGGUGGUCAUAUUACUAAGUCUUUAGAUGCCAGUUGGAGUUGGAUUGCCUAGUUAUCAUUAGCAUUCAUGGGUACCAUUUAUGCCCUAUUCAAUAAAUAUUUCAGCGAUUCUAUAAUGGAAUAUUUAGAUCAACCUAGGCUCAGCUUUAAAUGACGGGAUGAAUAUCAACGGCUAAAUUUAUAAACGGAUACCAACCCGAUUGCUGCGAACUCACGGAUGUAAAAUUGUCUGGUAAUGCAAAUCAUCGACAAGUCCAUGAUGAAACGACUUUCUAUUUUUUUUUUACUUCUAUUAACGUCAUUUAAUGUCCAACUCUUCUAGGAAAUCCCCAAAUUCGAAUAUUCAAUAAGGUAAUGGGGUGCGAUGUUUUUAGUUGAUUCACAUUGGAAAUAUUUCAAUUCGAGAUAUGAAAAACCAUUGAUAGAAACAGAUAGAGUAGAAGUUAUUGCUUGAUGCAACAAAAUUUGAAGAUUUGUUAAUUUACAGAUUUGCUAUUCUACAAAGUCUCAUCCCUACAAGCAGAAAUGGAUCUGAAUAGCGAUCGCUUUAGUUAGGUCAUAAGAUCGGCAGUCUAAACGUUGACCGCACAUGGCUACAUUGUAGCCUUUAUAUUCUUUCUUUCUAUUCCAGUUAUAAGCUGAUACAGUAGAUCUUGAAUUUCAUCAGUUUGUCAAAAUAUCUCUCUCGUUUUAUCAUACUUUACAAACCCAAAACACAAACAUAAGAAACUGCACUGAACUAAAUGCAAAGCUAUAAGGUAUUGUAACAAGCUCACAAUGUGAUAUAUA
Molecule: long non-coding RNA, 3844 nt
Filed under: Schizosaccharomyces pombe (fission yeast)
Lineage: Eukaryota; Fungi; Ascomycota; Schizosaccharomycetes; Schizosaccharomycetales; Schizosaccharomycetaceae
Source: RNAcentral